This 253-nucleotide ribosomal RNA is filed under the name uncultured bacterium. Its description in RNAcentral is "partial 16S ribosomal RNA". It matches the Rfam family "Bacterial small subunit ribosomal RNA", at positions 524 to 776 of the family's 1533-position model. The record is from RNAcentral.
UACGAAGGGGGCUAGCGUUGCUCGGAAUCACUGGGCGUAAAGGGUGCGUAGGCGGUUCUUUAAGUCCGGGGUGAAAUCCUGGAGCUCAACUCCAGAACUGCCUUUGAUACUGAAGAUCUUGAGUUCGGGAGAGGUGAGUGGAACUGCGAGUGUAGAGGUGAAAUUCGUAGAUAUUCGCAAGAACACCAGUGGCGAAGGCGGCUCACUGGCCCGAUACUGACGCUGAUGCACGAAAGCGUGGGGAGCAAACAGG